GCCACCUCCAGCCACCACCCUCAACCAUUUUUCAGUGUUUUGUCACUCAAUAAUCUAACAAAAAAAGCCCGGUUUUUGGCACCAACCCAGAACACCUCACUCAAAACCCACAUCAAAAACUCUUCAACCUAACUUCACACACACAUUGUGUGUAUCACUGUGUGUGUCCAAUUGGAUCUUUAUAGAUCCUCCCAUCAUCAAUGAGAGCUCACUCUCAGCAGCCAAUCCUUCAUCCUACAGUUUAACUGAGAUCUGGCCCUGCAAUAGCACUAGAAUUGAGGAUUUAGGGCUCAAAAUGGGAACCCUAAUUGCCCCAAUUGGGGACCCGAAUAUUGUUUGUAUCGGAGUUGCGAAGGUAUCCUGCUGCUGGAUCUGAAACAGAUGCUCAGAAAUUGAUUUCUUUGGUUUUUAGUAUGCUGAAAGAUGGAAAUCAUCGGGUUGAUGAGAAAAUUAUUAGAAACUUUAAGUUUGGUGCAAGGGCUGUGUUGAACCCCAUGGCAGCCAUGUUUGGGGGUGUUGUUGGACAGGAAGUUGUUAAGGCUUGUUCUAGAAAGUUUCAUCCACUACUUCACGCCUGCAACAAAAAGAAUUAUCCUACAGUUUAACUGGGAUCUGGCGGGAGCGGAGGGAUCCCAAUUUUGAAGAUGAAGGGUCGAAGAUUAUGUCCACUAGUAGGGCGAUUGAUUUGGUAAUUUUAUAAAAUCCCCAAUGUUGUUCAGUUAUAAAAUGAAAUACAUAUUGUUUAGCUUGUGCAAAA
Long non-coding RNA from Helianthus annuus (common sunflower), 757 nucleotides. RefSeq lists it as uncharacterized. The transcript has 2 exons. The record is from RefSeq and is a predicted model, not a curated record. Lineage: Eukaryota; Viridiplantae; Streptophyta; Magnoliopsida; Asterales; Asteraceae.